CUUGGUCAUUUAGAGGAAGUAAAAGUCGUAACAAGGUUUCCGUAGGUGAACCUGCGGAAGGAUCAUUAAAAAGUUUGGCUUCGGCCGACUGCGAAAAGUACGAGCCGCCAGGAACUCCCGUCGGCGCCCUCCAACCUGCCUGCAACUGCUGGGUGUGUGCUCUGAACUGGAGUUGGCGUACAAAUCGAAUCGACGGGGGGGAUUGACCGGUCGGGCUUAACGCGUGUCAACCCUCCGUGAAACUUCCCCUUUGCUUGGGCAGCACACCCACGGUUUGCCGUGGGCCGGUCAGUCUGCCCGAAGCACCAACCCAAACCACUUGUUUGAACUUUUGUCCGAACCAGUCCAAUGACUUUUAAAACUUUCAACAACGGAUCUCUUGGUUCUCGCAUCGAUGAAGAACGCAGCGAAACGCGAUAGGUAAUGUGAAUUGCAGAAUCUAGUGAAUCAUCGAAUCUUUGAACGCAUAUUGCGCCUUCUGGUAUUCCGGGAGGCACGUCUGUUUGAGCGUCAGCAACACCUCAAAGCUCGCUUUGGUUGUGGGAUGGGUCGACCCCUCUCUGGGGGUGCACCCUCCUUAACGUUGCCUGACGAUAGCGAACCACAGCAGCCUGGCAGUAGACGUAGUAAAUUUUUCUCGUUUGCCUGCUCGGGAGGCGGAUCGCCAACGAAAACUCAAAACCUUUUGACCUCAAAUCAGACGAGGAUACCCGCUGAACUUAAGCAUAUCAAUAAGCGGAGGA
This 743-nucleotide ribosomal RNA is filed under the name uncultured Ascomycota. RNAcentral's name for it is "eukaryotic LSU rRNA". The stretch from base 360 to 513 matches the Rfam family "5.8S ribosomal RNA". The record is from RNAcentral. Lineage: Eukaryota; Fungi; Ascomycota.